Molecule: long non-coding RNA, 803 nt
Organism: Nymphaea colorata (pocket water lily)
Lineage: Eukaryota; Viridiplantae; Streptophyta; Magnoliopsida; Nymphaeales; Nymphaeaceae
Exons: 4
Source: RefSeq, a predicted model, not a curated record
GGAAAGUGCCCCGAGCCUCACCUCAAUUCCCUUUCUAAAACCCAAAACCGUUCGUUCUCUGAGGAGUGAAAACCCGAUCACAUUUUCUGAAUGAUGCCGCUGCCGCCGGACCGCCGAACCAUCUGUGCCCGCUGGACCGUCGUCUGCCGGAAUGCUGCGGCGCCGCUCGACCGCCAGACUGACCAAUUACGAAAGCCCUCAAAUUUGUCGGUCGCCGCGGUAGGCUGCUCGCAGGACAACUGACCAAGGUCGGUCUUCCAAUUGCUCGACGACGAUAAGGUGGGAGGAUUUGGGGAUAAAUAUCGACGUAGAUGAAAAUGAUGAAGAUCGAGGUUCCAAGAUGCUAUGGGGGAAGAAGUAGAAGGACAUCGGGGUUCCUUUUCUCUUUUGGGCGAAUUCGAUCCCAUGAUCGAUUGACCAUCGAUCUCUAUUGCAUUGCAGCCACCUGCGCUCGUGAAAAUGUUGUUGCGGUGCCGUCAACAUAAAUGCAACGCAUUUAGUUUUUCAUUAUCAAUAUGGGCGAAGUGGAAAGUAAUUUACAUUACAACAGAUGCAGGUAACUUUGUCGUUGAUCAAAAAUAACGGUGGCCAGGUCGCGACGAUGAUCACAAUUCAAAAGUGAAGGUAUGUGAAAAAGAAAAUAUGUGCAUGUUGCUUGUUGCAUGGCGUUCACGUGCAAGCAAUACAGGUAACGCUUGCUUGAGUUUCCGACCAAUAUUAGCAUUAUAUGUUUGAUCUUGACAAAUUAAGUUGUCAUUAUACUAAUGGGAUUACACUUAAUUACGACUUAUUGUGCAAAAGUA